UACAGAGGGUGCGAGCGUUAAUCGGAAUUACUGGGCGUAAAGCGUGCGUAGACGGUUAUUUAAGUCGGAUGUGAAAGCCCCGGGCUCAACCUGGGAAUUGCAUUCGAGACUGAAUAGCUAGGGUGCGGUAGAGGGAAGCGGAAUUUCCGGUGUAGCGGUGAAAUGCGUAGAUAUCAGGAGGAACACCGGUGGCGAAGGCGGCUCUCUGGACCACAACUGACGCUGAGGCGCGAAAGCUAGGGGAGCAAACAGG
Molecule: ribosomal RNA, 253 nt
Filed under: uncultured bacterium
Lineage: Bacteria
Description: partial 16S ribosomal RNA
Rfam family: Bacterial small subunit ribosomal RNA
Source: RNAcentral